GAUGAACGCUGGCGGCGUGCCUAAUACAUGCAAGUCGAGCGAACGGACGAGAAGCUUGCUUCUCUGAUGUUAGCGGCGGACGGGUGAGUAACACGUGGAUAACCUACCUAUAAGACUGGGAUAACUUCGGGAAACCGGAGCUAAUACCGGAUGAUAUUUUGAACCGCAUGGUUCAAAAGCGAAAGACGGUCUUGCUGUCACUUAUAGAUGGAUCCGCGCUGCAUUAGCUAGUUGGUAAGGUAACGGCUUACCAAGGCAACGAUGCAUAGCCGACCUGAGAGGGUGAUCGGCCACACUGGAACUGAGACACGGUCCAGACUCCUACGGGAGGCAGCAGUAGGGAAUCUUCCGCAAAGGGCGAAAGCCUGACGGAGCAACGCCGCGUGAGUGAUGAAGGUCUUCGGAUCGUAAAACUCUGUUAUUAGGGAAGAACAUAUGUGUAAGUAACUGUGCACAUCUUGACGGUACCUAAUCAGAAAGCCACGGCUAACUACGUG
This 497-nucleotide ribosomal RNA is filed under the name uncultured bacterium. RNAcentral describes it as "partial 16S ribosomal RNA". It matches the Rfam family "Bacterial small subunit ribosomal RNA", at positions 28 to 507 of the family's 1533-position model. The record is from RNAcentral.